This 31-nucleotide non-coding RNA is filed under the name Mus musculus (house mouse). Lineage: Eukaryota; Metazoa; Chordata; Mammalia; Rodentia; Muridae. The record is from RNAcentral.
UAGGACAUUUCUUAAUUAGUGCCUGAUGGGU